GCCCGGAUAGCUCAGUCGGUAGAGCAGAGGAUUGAAAAUCCUCGUGUCGGUGGUUCGACUCCGCCUCCGGGCACCA
RNAcentral lists this transfer RNA (76 nucleotides) under Vibrio cholerae. RNAcentral describes it as "tRNA-Phe". It matches the Rfam family "tRNA". From Rfam's summary of the family: Transfer RNA (tRNA) molecules are approximately 80 nucleotides in length. Their secondary structure includes four short double-helical elements and three loops (D, anti-codon, and T loops). The record is from RNAcentral. Lineage: Bacteria; Pseudomonadati; Pseudomonadota; Gammaproteobacteria; Vibrionales; Vibrionaceae.